RNAcentral lists this long non-coding RNA (1279 nucleotides) under Equus caballus (horse). RNAcentral's name for it is "lncRNA (ENSECAG00000046573.1)". The record is from RNAcentral. Lineage: Eukaryota; Metazoa; Chordata; Mammalia; Perissodactyla; Equidae.
UGGAAGUGAGUGUGUCCUCCCCUGAGAUCCUCACCUUAUCAGUAAGAAUCUGUUUUACAUUACCUCUCUUGUGUCCCUAUUAUUUCUUGUCUUGAAUUAUAAUGAUCUAUGUUUCGGUUUCAUCUCCUUCGUGAGAUUGUAAAACCAUUACCUCUGAGCGCCGUCUUUCUAUCAUACGCCCCUAAUCAUAGCACACUGUGCCACUGCUAGGUCAGCACUGUUUCACCAACUGGACAUGCGCUUUCAAAGGACAUAUUGAGAGCCUGGUUCGGAUGUGAGGGGAAGAAGGAGAGAGAUUAGCAAAGAGGAUUCUUAGGUUUUGAAACUAGGAGACCAGAAGACAGAUGGUCAUCACUGACAAGAGGGAGAGAAUUGGGAGUGAUGGUUUAUGGAGUGAAGACAAUGAGUUUCUUUUUGCCUUGGCUGAGUUUGGGAAGACUUUGAUGCUAAGCGGGGAACUGGAUUUCCGACACUGCCUUGGAAGACUGCAGGCAAGGGGACCAGCUCCCAGGCAGACAGAGUUCCUGGUACCCAGCCAGACAGUUUACCUGCAAAUCCAGGUGAAGCCAAGCUAAUCCCUCAACGUCUCCCAGUCUGCUCUCCCUGACUCUUCCGACAGAGACGAUGAGGAUGAAUGGAGAUUGAAGAGCUGGUGAAGAAUGUUCUCAGAUGUGUACAUUUGGACAGGUUUUACAUGACAUGGGAGCCUUCAAAAGGAAUGAAGACAUGAAGAGAAACAAUGGCUUUUAGACCCCAUGCGUGAAUCUGUCUCCAUGAAAGCAAAGUCAUGCACGCGAAUCGCCCAACAUCUCCCCCGCUCAGGUUCCUACUGGGUUUCUGGAUGGCAGAGUGAGGAGCACGCUUUGGAGACAUGGAGCCCACGAGAUACACGCUGAAAUAUUUAAAAAUGAAAUGAUGUGAUGUCUAGGAUUUUCUUCAAAAUAAUAAAGGAGAAGAGCCUUCACUCCUAAGUGGAUGACAAGGACACAGGGUUGGAAAACUUCCCAGAGAAGGUGACGCUGGAUUUGUUUCCAAAGAGAAAAUACGAGUGAAGACGGGUGAGGAAAAGAGCGUCCAAGGCAGAGGGGAAGGUAAGGAGACCCUAAAACUGCCCUCCAAGUGCUUCUUUUCUAAGAGGGAAAUGCAGACUUUAUUGUAAAAAAGAACAUAAGAAAAUGAACAUGGUCAUGUAUGGCCUGGCAUCUUUGUCAGGGAAAAAGGAAGAGAGAGGAGACAGUUCGCUUUAAUUCAAAGUGACCUUCCCAAUUCUUGAAACUAG